Molecule: long non-coding RNA, 276 nt
Filed under: Carica papaya (papaya)
Lineage: Eukaryota; Viridiplantae; Streptophyta; Magnoliopsida; Brassicales; Caricaceae
Description: long non-coding RNA (CPAP_LNC006149)
Source: RNAcentral
AAAUGGAAGAAAGGGUUCCCUAUUUAUAGAAAAUAGGGACUGUUUGAUUUGUGCCAAGUGACAAAAUCUAGUGAGGAGAGAGAAAGUUGAGUGAAUGAUGAGUGAUUUGACUUCACAAGAUGACAGUGCAAAAAAUAGAGGAAAAAUCCUCAACUGGUGGCAGUUUUCCAUCCAAGGCAAUGGCGGCACAUCACUCAAGCUGGCACAUGGCACCCAAGGGGCAGUGGGGCACUGCCCAAGGCGGCAGUGCGCCUCCCCAGGCUGGCCGUUCACUGC